Molecule: transfer RNA, 83 nt
Filed under: Symploca sp. SIO1C4
Lineage: Bacteria; Bacillati; Cyanobacteriota; Cyanophyceae; Coleofasciculales; Coleofasciculaceae
Also listed under: 2 other names
Description: tRNA-Tyr
Rfam family: tRNA
About the family: Transfer RNA (tRNA) molecules are approximately 80 nucleotides in length.
Source: RNAcentral
GGGUUGGCUUGCCCAUUGGUGUGGGCAGCUGUCUGUAAAACAGUCGCUUUUAAGCUUUGCAGGUUCAAAUCCUGCCCAACCCA